RNAcentral lists this long non-coding RNA (3926 nucleotides) under Mus musculus (house mouse). RNAcentral describes it as "long non-coding RNA chr1:51088405-51092331". Lineage: Eukaryota; Metazoa; Chordata; Mammalia; Rodentia; Muridae. The record is from RNAcentral.
GAGAAACACUGUCUCAAAAACAAACAAACAAACAAACAAACAAAAAAUACUUGAAUAUAUUAAGAUGAAAAUACUAGAAAUGAGCCAAUGAGCAAAAGCAGUGGGUGCUGCCAGCUUCCAUUUACUUGAGCUUUGCUGUUGAACUUCUCUGGAUCCUCACAGGCAGACAAGAGACCCAAUUCUAUGGCCUAUUCCCCUUGUGGAUGGGAUCCCUCAGCUAGUCUAGGUCAAGACUGUGAUGUGUGACUAUCUGAUUGUAAAUGCUGGACUCCUCGGACUCUUAUUUUCCUCAUCCUGAAACAGUCACCACUAGUGCUGCAGUAGGUGGCUUCUCCAUCACCCCGGAACAAGAGCUAGGUCGUGGCUAUCUUAAGACACUGUGGUGCUAGAAUUGCUUAUUGACUGACAGCUGUCAUCACCGGAGAGGAAGGAAGGACAGGUGUGAGGUUUGUUUCACACCUGCAAUAGAAGAAAAUGGAAAAUGUGAAGAUCUUUAGAGAUGGAGAACACGUGAAGUUAGCAAAUGAUGAUGAUCAUCUCACAACACUCUUAUUCAAGCAGGCUUUUCAGUGGAAUGGAGCCUGGAAGCUUCACUGCAGGGGUGCUGGCCUGCAGAUCUACAGGUCAUCUGGUACAAAGCUGGGCAAGCUCCUUCCUUCUAGAAGGCUGGUGGGUUCCUCAGAUGGACCAGCUGCCUUUCUCUUCCUUCCCCCUCCACACAGUUUACACAAACUGGUUUGAUUGCCGGGGGAUAAGAAUUGGAUGGAGACUGGCCUUUCCAGAUCUCUAGUGACAUAAUGCCGGAGACAGGACACUAAAAAUAAACAAAUGAUCCCAGCCCAAAGCAAAAGUAGGACAACAAUUUACCAACAUGAGAGAACAAAUGCUUGAUAGAGUUCUGACAAGAAGGAUGUAUUUAGGAAGAUAAAACCUGGCUUACAAGAAUGAAGCAGAAAUUGAUUUUCCAUAUGGGGCCUACCAAUGUGGAGAUUAGCACAAAGAAAAAGAGGACUAAAAAGGCGACGAGUCCACUUCUUGUUCCAACAAUCUGCCCAUGUCCAUGGCUCCCUCCCUGUCGGGAAUUAUGAGAAGGAAAAAAUGAGAAACACAAAAAGAAAGGGUCUAUUUUUGAGCUCUCUUUACACAUGUAGAAACCUAAUUUUAAAAUUCUUGUGUUUGGGGGCAGGUGUGCUUCCACACAUCUCUAAUCCUAGGACUAGAAGGGAAAAGGCAGGAAAAUCUGUGAGUUCAAGGCCAACCAGGGCUCCCUCAGGAGACUUUAUCAUAAAAAAAAAUAAAUAAAAGGCUUUUUCAUGUGGUUACUUAAAGUUGUAUUUGAGAUAAUUAUUUCAGUAAUUGAAAUUUUGUUUCUUUGUCCAUUUUUAAAAUAUUUUAUAAAGCUUUUGGGAAUUUCCUACAGUAUGCUUUGACCAUAUUGCUGAAGGUACCAUAUAUAUUAGUCAUAGAGAAUGGAAAAUUCAAAUUGGUUCUGCCCAGGAAGCUUGCUCCCUGCUAGCUAGAUUUCAUGGUAUGGGAAGAUUCUAUGCAGACCUCUGUGGGCAGAAAGGAAGAAAGACAGUAGUCUUAUCCAGCUGGAAACCCUGGGAACUACCGUAAUGACCAACACGGGAAAGAUCACCCAUGGGUACAAUAGUGGCAGAAAUGUUACAUGAUGGCAACUGCUUACUGAUAUAUGUACAUCUUGCCAAGAGUCCACCGUUAAGGGACUCACAGUGAAACUAUACUACUUGGCUAAAUGGACAUCAUAUCAAAACUGCCCUCUAAAUUCAUAUGGUAAUGUUUAAAUAUAAAAUGUACUCACCAAUGCUUUGACCUGAAAGUAUUAAUUGUGCGGUUUUUUUUCUUCUUCUUUAUUAUUGAAAGAAGAGGCCCAAUGCAGUAAAAGUAAAUUUUCUUAGCAACCUUCUGUCAGAAGAAGAGAAAUCUUCACACCUCAGACAAAGGCACUCCCAGGGUGUAUACUCGAGUUUUGAUGGAGCUGCAUAUAAAUCACAGGAACACAAUGAUCACUCUGAGUCAGAGUUUAAAUCUGCCACUUCUGUCUUUCUUUAUCCACUAACCAUGAAUCCAGAGCUCCUGUUGGCUGUAUUUCAUAGAGACAGAGAUGCUUGAAUCGCCAAAUGGAUGAAGCAAAGGUCACACAAGUGGUUGCAUGGUUAGAUCCAUCCAACAAAGUAUCCUGGUGUCCUGAGAGCACAGACUUUGCGUCAGCUCUCAACAAAGGCUCCUGUGUUUUUAACAGCUGCUUAAUUAAGCACUUAGCUACAGAUUGUCAUGCCUUAUAUUUGGUGCUGCUGUUUGCUCCUGUGUACUUGGGAAUAAAUUCUUCACCAUUGUUGCAUCUCAAAGUUUUUCAUCUAUAGGAAGAGAAUUGGGAGACCUGUUUUCUAAGGUUAUUAGAAUCAUGUGUAUGUGUGUGUAUGUAUACAUAUACAUAUUUAUGUAUAUAUAUAUAUGUGUGUGUGCAUAUAUAUAUGUAUGUAUAUAUACAUAUAUAUGUAUAUAUACAUACAUAUAAUGUACACCAUUACCAUUAACCUGAUUUCUUAGAAUUUUUUUCUCUUUAAAUUUGUAUUGUGAAUUCUCAGAAUACUGACUUUGUGCUGCAGUCUUUUCCUUUCUUUUCCUGUGGUGCAUAUAAGGGAAGGAGGAGUGUCACACAUGCCAGGCAAGCACACGUGCUGCUGCUCAGUUUUCGGUCAACUUGACACAUCAACCUACCGGAGAACUUAAAAUGUAGAAUUACCUCCAUCAGAUUGGCCAGUGGGCAUGUCUACAGGGAAUUAAUUAUUGAUGUGGGAGGAUCUAGCCUACUUUGCACAGUGCCACCUCUGGGCAGGUACAUGGUCCUGGAAUAUAUAAAAAAAAAGCAAGCUAAGCAUGCUUCCAGUUAUAGGCCAGGAAGCAAAUCCCCCCUCCCCCACCCCCAUGGCCUGUGCUUAGUCCCUGUCUCCAGGAUCCUGUCUUGAGCUCCGGGCCUGGAUUCUCUUGAAGAUGAACUGCAACCCCUUCCUCCCCAAGUUGAACAGAAACGGAACAAGAAUAGCAUCCUACUGCUGCUGGCAUCUCUGAGGAUAAGUUCAUUAUUCAGACUAUGAUUUGGAUUAGUGUUUUUUUUUCAUUCCUCACACUGCACGAUAGAGUCAUCGCUCAUCACAGAAAUGCUUCAUACAUCUCCAAUACAACCAUUUAAAUAGGUCUUGAAUCAUAGCACUUGAGAAAAAUGAAAACAUUCCAACCAAUUGAUUGGAAUUGUUAAACUGAUGACUACAAUUUUGAGGAUUUUUUUAAUAUAUAUAUAUCAAGUGAUGAUGGCAGUAUUGUAUAGACUGUUCAAAACAAGAAAAAUCACAACCUUCUGAAGUCUUAGAAUAAUUAUUGUUGUUGUUAGAGAAAAGGGCCUUUAAGAUAAAUAACUUUCAUAUUACAGAUAGGAUUUAUUUACUACUAAAGUGGACCACACAAGAAUCCAGCUCUCUCAUUGAGCAAGGUAGGGUUUCGAGAACCCCUAGCUAUCUCAGACCAUGGAUCCUCUUGCAUGGCUGAUGAGUUGGGGGACAGAAACCUUUAGAAAACAUUUGGAUCCAGAAACCAGACUCCUCACCAUCUCCCUAAGUUGCUUCUCAAAACAUGAUAAUGUCUUAUGCCUGGCUGCGUGGGACUUUAGAGAUCUUACACUGACUUUCACCAGUCUGCAUUACUAUUCAUAAAUGUGAAGCAGAGGACAGUUAAAUAGUCUGCUCAAGGUUCUACACUUCCAUAUUUCUCUCAACAUCAUAGCUCACUCUUGUUGAGAUUCACAUCUAGGGUUUAUACAGAAUAAUGAGGAAGUCCUGACAUUUUUUAAUUGAAGGCCUGAUAAAAGAAUCAAUUUGAUCUUGAAUUUUUAUCUCAUGUCUAGGAGU